RNAcentral lists this ribosomal RNA (393 nucleotides) under uncultured bacterium. RNAcentral's name for it is "partial 16S ribosomal RNA". It matches the Rfam family "Bacterial small subunit ribosomal RNA", at positions 523 to 918 of the family's 1533-position model. The record is from RNAcentral.
AUACGGAGGAUGCGAGCGUUAUCCGGAUUUAUUGGGUUUAAAGGGUGCGUAGGCUGUGCGUUAAGUCAGGGGUGAAAUGCCGUCGCUCAACGACGGAGCUGCCCUUGAUACUGGCGUGCUGGAGUACGGAUGCCGUUGGAGGAAUGAGUGGUGUAGCGGUGAAAUGCUUAGAUAUCACUCAGAACACCGAUUGCGAAGGCAUCUGACGAAUCCGUCACUGACGCUGAGGCACAAAAGCGUGGGGAUAGAACAGGAUUAGAUACCCUGGUAUUCCACGCCGUAAACGAUGAUGGCUAACCGCCUGCGAUAUAGUGUAGGUGGCCAAGCGAAAGCGAUAAGCCAUCCACCUGGGAAGUACGACCGCAAGGUUGAAACUCAAAGGAAUUGACGGGG